UCCCUGGUGGUCUAGUUGCUAAGGCUCCCGUGCUCUCACUGCCGCAGCCCGUGUUUGAUUCCCGGGCAGGGAA
Non-coding RNA from Pangasius djambal, 73 nucleotides. Lineage: Eukaryota; Metazoa; Chordata; Actinopteri; Siluriformes; Pangasiidae. The record is from the annotation of a GenBank genome assembly.